UAUAUAUAUAUAUUAAGAUUUGAUAUUAUAUUUAAAUUUGUAUUUUAAAAAUUUAGAUUUAAUAUAAGGUGUUUAGAAAUAUGGAAAACAGAAAUGAUUAUUUCGUUCCGGUUUUCAGCUUCGGCUUUGUGUUUCGGAUUUUUUGUUGGAUUUAGAUUUGGAUAUAAAUUUUAAAUUCGUGGGAGUCGAAUUCAGAUUUGAUAGUCAGGUUCGAGUUCGAAUUUUUGAAACCUAAUUUCGAAUCCGAUCUGUUGACAUCCCAGAGUUUGUAGAUCAAGCUUUGCUACAAAUAGCUCAU
This 298-nucleotide long non-coding RNA is filed under the name Ananas comosus (pineapple). RNAcentral describes it as "long non-coding RNA (ACOM_LNC031745)". The record is from RNAcentral. Lineage: Eukaryota; Viridiplantae; Streptophyta; Magnoliopsida; Poales; Bromeliaceae.